Molecule: ribosomal RNA, 497 nt
Filed under: uncultured bacterium
Lineage: Bacteria
Description: partial 16S ribosomal RNA
Rfam family: Bacterial small subunit ribosomal RNA
Source: RNAcentral
GAUGAACGCUGGCGGCGCGCCUAACACAUGCAAGUCGAACGGAAAGACGAGGAGCUCGCUCUGCUGAGGGUGGCGGCGGACGGGUGAGUGACAAGUAGAUCGCCAACCAAUUAGACUGGGAUUACGUCGGAGAACCGGAGACAAUACCGGAUAUUAUAUUGAACUGCAGGGUGCAGUAGUUAAUGGCGGUUUUGCUGUUAGUUAUAGAUGAUUCCGCGCCGCAUUAGCUAGUUGGUAAGGGAACGGCUUACCAAGGCAACGAUGCGUAGCCGACCUGAGAGGGUGAUCGGCCACACUGGAACUGAGACACGGUCCAGACUCCUACGGGAGGCAGCAGUAGGGAAUCUUCCGCAAUGGGCGAAAGCCUGACGGAGCAACACCGCGUGAGUGAGGAAGGUCUUCGGAUCGUAAAGCUCUGUUAUUGGGGAAGAACAGAAGUGUAAUUAACUAUGGACGUCUUGACGGUACCUAAAGAAAAAGCCACGGCUAACUACGUG